RNAcentral lists this ribosomal RNA (406 nucleotides) under Dolichopoda geniculata. RNAcentral describes it as "partial 16S ribosomal RNA". It matches the Rfam family "Bacterial large subunit ribosomal RNA", at positions 1939 to 2552 of the family's 2925-position model. Lineage: Eukaryota; Metazoa; Arthropoda; Insecta; Orthoptera; Rhaphidophoridae. The record is from RNAcentral.
AUUUUGACUGUGCAAAGGUAGCAUAAUCAUUAGUCUUUUAAUUAAGGACUGGUAUGAAUGGUUUAACGAAAUAUUAACUGUCUCAUAAUAAUAAUAUAGAAUUUAACUUUUAAGUCAAAAGGCUUAAAUAGAGUUAGAGGACGAGAAGACCCUAUAGAGCUUUAUAUUUAUACUUUUAAAUUUUAUUUAGAUGUUUAUAAUUUUUAAAUUUUAAAAUAUUUUAUUGGGGUGAUAGGAAGAUGAAAAUAACUCUUUUAAUUAAUUGAACAUUAAUUUAUGAAUAAUUGAUCCAUUAAUAAUGAUUAAAAGAUUAAGUUACCUUAGGGAUAACAGCGUAAUGUUUUUUGAGAGUUCUUAUCAACAAAAAAGAUUGCGACCUCGAUGUUGGAUUAAGGAAAAGGUUGGG